AGGAUCAUUACAGCGAAACGGCGCGAGCCGCCUUUCGAACCACCGCGUACCGAACCCCCCACGUUGCCUCGGCGGGCGCCGGGCGCCCCGCGCCCGCCGAACGGCCCCCCCAGCAAGACCCCUUCCGUCGAGAUGGCGUCGUCUGAACCCUCCGGGGAAAACGUUUUUGAAACGAAAAACACAACUUUCAACAAUGGAUCUCUUGGCUCCGGCAUCGAUGAAGAACGCAGCGAAACGCGAUAGCUAGUGUGAAUUGCAGAUUUCAGUGAAUCAUCGAGUCUUUGAACGCACAUUGCGCCUCUUGGUAUUCCUCGAGGCAUGCCUGUUCGAGCGUCGUUACGCCCCUCAAGCGCGAGCUUGGUGUUGUGGGACGCCCCUGAGACACGGCGGCCGCCCCGGAAUGCAUCGGCGGUGCUGGUCCCAGCCCGGAGCGCAGCAGACAUGCGGCUCCGCGGGCGGGCCCGGCGCCCGCCGGACAAACGACGAGACCCCCCCACGAGUCGAC
RNAcentral lists this ribosomal RNA (505 nucleotides) under Dothideomycetes sp. D133_104. Its description in RNAcentral is "eukaryotic LSU rRNA". The stretch from base 183 to 336 matches the Rfam family "5.8S ribosomal RNA". The record is from RNAcentral. Lineage: Eukaryota; Fungi; Ascomycota; Dothideomycetes.